GACGGAGGAUGCAAGCGUUAUCCGGAAUGAUUGGGCGUAAAGCGUUCGCAGGCGGCAGUUCAAGUCUGCUGUCAAAGACCGGGGCUUAACUUCGGAAAGGCAGUGGAAACUGAACAGCUAGAGUAUGGUAGGGGCGGAGGGAAUUCCUGGUGUAGCGGUGAAAUGCGUAGAGAUCAGGAAGAACAUCGGUGGCGAAGGCGCUCUGCUGGGCCAUAACUGACGCUCAGGGACGAAAGCUAGGGGAGCGAAUGGG
This 253-nucleotide ribosomal RNA is filed under the name uncultured bacterium. RNAcentral describes it as "partial 16S ribosomal RNA". It matches the Rfam family "Bacterial small subunit ribosomal RNA", at positions 524 to 776 of the family's 1533-position model. The record is from RNAcentral.